GCCCGGAUGGUCUAGUGGUAUGAUUCACGCUUAGGGUAACUCCAAUGUGGUUAUUUGCUGUGUGAGGUCUUGGGUUCAAUUCCCAAUUCGGGCC
Talaromyces proteolyticus is the source of this 94-nucleotide non-coding RNA. The record is from the annotation of a RefSeq genome assembly. Lineage: Eukaryota; Fungi; Ascomycota; Eurotiomycetes; Eurotiales; Trichocomaceae.